GCCAGUGUGCCAAUGCCUAUCAAAUAUCUACCUGUCAUGUUUGUCAUAGGACAGGUAGAUAUUUGAUAGGCAUUGGCACGUUGGG
MicroRNA precursor from Chlorocebus sabaeus (green monkey), 85 nucleotides. It matches the Rfam family "mir-3927 microRNA precursor family". The record is from Rfam. Lineage: Eukaryota; Metazoa; Chordata; Mammalia; Primates; Cercopithecidae.